Molecule: long non-coding RNA, 5588 nt
Filed under: Zostera marina
Lineage: Eukaryota; Viridiplantae; Streptophyta; Magnoliopsida; Alismatales; Zosteraceae
Description: long non-coding RNA (ZMAR_LNC000892)
Source: RNAcentral
GGAACAUAUAUUCCCAACACCUGACAUGCAGAUAACCUACAGUUAUAUUUUUAGCAAUUAAGUAGUUAUUUGUAUCAUUCACUAUAACUGUUUGAAUUACAUUUAUUGUGAUGAUGAAACUGAAUGGAUUAGAGUAUGUGAACAGAAAUGAGAAUGGCAAUACCAAUUGUACCUCUAUUGAACCCCAACCUAUAGUUUAUAUAGGCUGAGAAUAACAGAAAACGUUACCACUGCCUUAGGUAGUGGUAACGUUAAUUACAAAGUUAAUUACAGAAAUAAAUGCUAAAAAUAACUAGGGCUAAUAACUAACUACAGCUAAUUAGUUAAUUACAGAAACUAAUUCUAUUCACUUUAACAGUCCCCCUCAAACUUAUGUGAUUGUAAACACAAGUUUGGGCUGCAACUUCAUGAAAAAUGUGGGUUUUAGAGGCUUGGUCAGGAUAUCAGCCAGCUGCCUUUCACCCUCUACGUGCAACACCUGUAAUGAACCCAUCUCUGUUCUUUCUUUAAUGAAGUUGAAGUCGAUGGCAGUAUGUUUCAUUUUAGUGUGACAUACUGGAUUUUGAGCUAUGAACGUAGCACUUAGAUUGUCGCAGUACAACUUCAUAGGCAAUGGAACCUCCACUCCCAAUUCUGUAAGUAAUGCUCUCACGGCCUCAACAUGUUCUACUGUAGUGCCUACAGCUCUAUAUUCUGCCUCUGUGGUGGAUCUAGACACUGUAGUUUGCUUAGUUGAUGCCCAAGCAACUAAAGUUCCACCUAUGAAAAUCAAGAAACCAGUCUGACUUUUUCUAUCACUUAUAUCUCCUGCCCAAUCUGCAUCUGAGUAUGCUGUAAUAGAAAAAUCAGUGGUUUUUCUCAAUAUUAUACCAGUGUCUUGUGUUCCAGAUAGAUAUCUUAAUAAUUUCUUGACUGCCACCCAAUGAGUCUUAGUUGGAGCUGCAAGAAACUGAGAGAGUUUAUUCACUGCAAAUUGUAUAUCUGGCCUGGUCAGAGUUAAAUACUGUAGUGUGCCAAUAAUUCUCCUGUAUUCACCGUGAUUUGAUACUGGUUCAUCUUCUUUAAAAAGAUCUUUUAAGUCUCCCAUAGGAGUGCUUGAGGGUUUGAGAUGCUCAAACUUGCAACUCCUCAACAGAUUACACAAAUACUGUUGCUGUGAGAGAAAAAGACCUUCUUCGACUGGUUUAACUGAAAUGCCCAGAAAAUAAUUCAGAUCUCCAAGUUCCCUCAAAGUGAACUCAUCACUCAUCUUCUUAAUGAUAUUAGUCACUGUCUCCUUAUCUGAUCCAGUGAUGACAAUAUCAUCCACAUACACAAAUAAAUAUGCCUUGCUCUCUCCAUGAAUAAGGAUAAACAAGGAUGGAUCUGUGGAACACUCCUUGAAAUGAAUGGACACCAAGAAAUCCCUGAGUCUUCUAUACCACAUUCUUGGAGAUUGUUUGAGACCAUAUAGUGACUUCUGCAACAAACACACAUGAUCUGGAAGCUCUGGAUCAAUGAAACCAGCAGGUUGUGACACCACAAUCCUCUCAUCUAGCUUUCCAUGUAAAAAUGCGUUGGAAAUGUCUAAUUGCUUCAAAUCCCAGCCAUUAGAGAUUGCCAAUGUUAACACAAUCCUUAUGGAGUUAGCUUUCACAACCGGGCUAAAAGUGUGUGUGUAAUCCGAACCCUCAAUCUGCCUCAUGCCAUUUGCCACUAGCCUAGCCUUGAACCUUUCGACAGUGCCAUCAUCUUUAGAUUUUACUUUGAACACCCAUUUGGUAUUAAUUAUGUUAUCAUUGGGUGAUCUAGGAAUGAGCUUCCAUGUCUGAUUCUCUAUUAGCGCAUUAAACUCUUCUUGCAUUGCUUGUUUCCAUUGAGGAACCUUAAGAGCGAAUUUUGUAGACCUUGGAACUGGGAUCUUGCUAGCUUCCACAGAGAGAUUGAAUUUCGGAUUAUAUUUCAGGGAUUUAACAAUCCCACUGGCUGCCCUGGUAUGUCUCAUACUUACUUCUGGAAUCUCAUCCUCAUCUCCACUGUCAGAAGGAGUCGGAGAAGGGUCAUACUCUGAACCGGACACAAUAGGAGAGCCUUCCAAGGAGGGAGCAAUGGUCUGAUUGAGUGAAGGAACCCCCAGAAUAUUCAGACUUGACGAGCUCGGAUCUGUGGAGGGACUAAGGACUAUAUCCUCAUCGGAUGUCGAAUGACUCUCCCUACUUAUGAUGGGAGGCUCCCCCUCGACGGUCAUCGGAGAAGAGAUUUCGUCGGAGAUUUCCACAUUUUUACCCGAGUUUUCCUCAACUGCCGGUCGAACUUCGUUUGAAGUUGGUUCAACCGAGACUGAAACCGGUUCAACCGAAUCUGAGCCGCAACUAUACCCUCCAGGAGCUUGUUCUACCACUCUCAUGUCCACUGUUACCAUGGGAUGUUGUUCAUUCUGUGAUGAGCUCUCCCUGAGAUAUUUGCUCAGCGAAAAAUCACCUUCGACAAAUGUAACAUCUCUUGAAGUGUAGAUUCGUGAUUCAACUGGAUCGAAACAAAGAUAACCAUCUUGAUUACAUGGAUAGCCAAGGAAUAUGCAAGCUUUUGACUUAGGAGACAGCUUGUUUUCCCUGUAAUCUCUCAGACAAGGGUAGCAUUUUGAGCCAAAGACUCUUAGCUUAUGGUAAUUCGGAGCAACCUGACUUAAAACCUCCAUAGGUGACAAUUCCCCCAAUGUCUGUGAAGGAUUCAAGUUGUAUAGGAAACCUGCUGUUAGGACUGCAAAAGACCAGAAUUUAUCAGGCAAAGAACAGAAAUCCAAUAAAGUUACAGCAGUGUCUAUAAUAUGCCUAUGCCGCCUCUCUACUGAUCCCAUCUGUUGGUGGCUGUAUGGAACUGAAAAUCUGUGCUGAAUUCCCAAUGUAGAGAGAUGCUUGGAGAGUUUCUUGAACUCCAGAGCAUUAUCAGUUUGUAGUUGCUUUAUAGGGUGACCACAUUGAAGCUCAACCAUUUUCCUGAACCUUUCAAAUACUUCUGUAACCUGAGAUUUAUUUGUCAGCAAAUAUAUCCAAUUGUAGCCACUGUAAGCGUCUACAAAAUUAAUGAAAUAUUUGAAUCCGUCCAUAGAAUAAACUGGAGAGGGACCCCAAAUAUCCGCAUGUAUUAAUUCCAAAGGGCAGUUGUACACGGAUUUUGUAGUUUUAUGUGGAAGAGCAUGUGACUUGCCAAUGUGACAUGACUCACAAUCAACUACUUUAUUACAACUGGAAUUAAUACUACCCCUUCGAAUUAAAGCUAAAACAGAUCUGAAAUUCAGAUGCCCCAGGCGGCAGUGCCAAACUUCACUUGAAACUUUAGACCUCUCCACCAUAGAAGCCUCCAAAGGCUGUUUUAUUGAAAAAGAAAUUGGAUAAAAACCAUCUUCCUCCUGAUCCACAGCAAGUACCCUCCUAGUUUUUUGAUCCCUGACCUUGGCUUUCUGUUCAUCAAAUUCCACAGACACAUGAUUAUCCUUGCAAAAGUUUUUAACAGAAACUAGAUUUCUAUUUGCAUCAGGUACAACUAACACAUCUUUCAACACAAAAUUAGAAUCCUGAUGUGUGAAAAUAGCAUCACCACAGUGAGUGAUCUCCAUACCUUCUCCAUUCGCUGUCCUCAUACAAUCAGAUCCUGUGUAUGGCCUAAUAGAGUGAAGAUUAUUACCUGAUUGAGUCACACUAGCAGUAGCAGCUGUGUCGUGAUACCAUCGGGCAUUGCCUCCAUAACCAGUGCUGAUCAAGGUUUAAAAACCGGUUAACCGGUAACCGGUUCUGGCUUACCGGUUUUCCGGUUAGACCGGUUAACCGGUGGUUAACCGGUAGGGGUAUUUUCGUAAUUUUUUUUAAAAAACAGAAAUUAUGUUAUAUACUUAUAUAUCUAUUCCAUGUUUAUAUCCAUGUUUAUAAUAAUUCAAAAUAGUCAUUCAAAAUAGUAAUGCAAAUAAGUAAUUAAUUCCAUAAUGUAAUUCAAAAUAUCCUAAGCCUAAGAUAUCUAUAAGGAGUAAGAUUUAAACUUAUUAAAAUAAAGCCUUGAAAUGAGGUUUUAAUAAAUUAAACAUAAUGGGCUUUAUUAAAUAAAGCCCAUAAGGGAAUUAUUUAUAACUGAGACGGGUAACCGGGUCGGGUACGGGGCAGACCCGCCCCAUCGACCCAUUUACCCGUUCCAACUAACCGGUCACCGGUUAGUUGGAUUUUACCGGUCAGCCGGUUAACCGGCGGUUAACCGCCGGUUUUUAAACCUUGGUGCUGAUCAUGUUGACCGAAGACUCUUUGCUAGUGUUCUCAUAAGGACCAUUUGGAGACAAGGUUCUGCGAUGAUCUGGAGGGUAUUUGCUAAGGUUAAUCCUGUUGUAGCAAUUCUUCGCAGAAUGUCCCUUCUUAGAGCAAAUUUGACACCAUAGAUCUCUUCCACCAGAUCUGGAAGAUCCAACAGCAGCUCUUCCCACAGUAUUAACCUCAGGGUUGGGAACAGCUACAGUAUCUGGUUUAUGAUCGAGAAGAAGCUGCUGGAAAUUAAGGAAAGUCAUAUUGUGAUCAAACCUUGUUGUGAUCGAAGUCUUGAAUGCAUGAAAUUCAGAUCCAAGACCACCCAGAGCAAUGAGAAUUAUCUGAGAAUCCUUCAUCUUCUCACCGGCACAUGCUAACUGAUCUCUCAUCAGUGUGAUCUUUUUCAGAUAUUCGAUCACAGAUAAAUUCUCCUUCCUGAUUGAUUGAAGACUGUGCCUCAGGAGCAGCAAUCUGGUCUCAGAUCCAGAAGCAAAUAGGGAUUGCAGCGCAUCCCAUACUUGUGCGGAUGUAUCGAGGGCAGCAACCUGAGGCAUUAUCGUUGGAGAUAAUGAGGUGUAGAUCCAGUUCUUGAUCAACGAAUCCUGCUGUUCCUCGAGGGAAUCGGCUGUGAUAGAAACCUUCCCCUGAAUGUAUUUGGUCAGUCCAUGACCCUUCAGCAUCGUCAGAAACUGAGAAUUCCAGCUGAAGAAAUUAGUGCCGUCGAAUACCGGACACUUGGGACUCUUGAUCUUCGUUACCGUGAACGAAGACUGCGACAGAAGGGCGCCAUCCUCGGGAGCAGCGGAAGUAGAAUCGGUGAUAUUGGCGGAUGAUACCAUAUUGUGAUGAUAAAACUGAAUGGAUUAGAGUAUGUGAACAGAAAUGAGAAUGGCAAUACCAAUCGUACCUUUAUUGAACCCCAACCUAUAGUUUAUAUAGGUUGAGAAUAACAGAAAACGUUACCACUGCCUUAGGUAGUGGUAACGUUAAUUACAAAGUUAAUUACAGAAAUAAAUGCUAAAAAUAACUAGGGCUAAUAACUAACUACAGCUAAUUAGUUAAUUACAGAAACUAAUUCUAUUCACUUUAACAUUAACUUUGGCUUCUUCUAGUGCUUUCAUUGUCCGUGUCCUAUGAUUAUUGCGAAUGAUAAUUCUGAUAUCACCGAUGAUAAUUAUGAUCAUGGCAGCAAACUAGCAAUUGUUCCCUUAUAUUAUGUACAGUCAAUAAUAUAUGAUCGUUGGCAUAAGUGACGAAGUAAAUGCCCAUGACAUAUUGUUGUUACUAUUAUAUGAUUUUGAGCAGUCACAUCCCUCUCAUUAG